Molecule: transfer RNA, 72 nt
Organism: Camelus ferus (Wild Bactrian camel)
Lineage: Eukaryota; Metazoa; Chordata; Mammalia; Artiodactyla; Camelidae
Rfam family: tRNA
About the family: Transfer RNA (tRNA) molecules are approximately 80 nucleotides in length. Their secondary structure includes four short double-helical elements and three loops (D, anti-codon, and T loops).
Source: Rfam
GAGGGUAUAGCUCAGUGGUAAAGGGCAUGCUUAGCAUGCACGAGGUCCUGGGUUCAAUCCCCAAUACCUCCA